GCGCGCCUACGGGGGGCAGCAGUGAGGAAUAUUGGUCAAUGGGCGGGAGCCUGAACCAGCCAAGCCGCGUGAAGGAAGAAGGCGCCAGGCGUCGUAAACUUCUUUUGUCGGGGAACAAAGGGCGCCACGCGUGGCGUUGUGAGUGUACCCGAAGAAAAAGCAUCGGCUAACUCCGUGCCAGCAGCCGCGGUAAUACGGAGGAUGCGAGCGUUAUCCGGAUUUAUUGGGUUUAAAGGGUGCGCAGGCGGGAGAUCAAGUCAGCGGUAAAAUGUCGGGGCUCAACCCCGGCCGGCCGGUGAAACUGG
This 305-nucleotide ribosomal RNA is filed under the name uncultured bacterium. Its description in RNAcentral is "bacterial SSU rRNA". It matches the Rfam family "Bacterial small subunit ribosomal RNA", at positions 333 to 636 of the family's 1533-position model. The record is from RNAcentral.